CUCGUAGGCGGCCAACUAAGUCGGACGUGAAAUCCCUCGGCUUAACCGGGGAACUGCGUCCGAUACUGGAUGGCUUGAGUUCGGGAGAGGGAUGCGGAAUUCCAGGUGUAGCGGUGAAAUGCGUAGAUAUCUGGAGGAACACCGGUGGCGAAGGCGGCAUCCUGGACCGACACUGACGCUGAGGAGCGAAAGCCAGGGGAGCAAACGGGAUUAGAUACCCCGGUAGUCCUGGCCCUAAACGAUGAAUGCUUGGUGUGGCGGGUAUCGAUCCCUGCCGUGCCGAAGCUAACGCAUUAAGCAUUCCGCCUGGGGAGUACGGUCGCAAGGCUAGAA
RNAcentral lists this ribosomal RNA (333 nucleotides) under uncultured bacterium. Its description in RNAcentral is "bacterial SSU rRNA". It matches the Rfam family "Bacterial small subunit ribosomal RNA", at positions 568 to 899 of the family's 1533-position model. The record is from RNAcentral.